This 393-nucleotide ribosomal RNA is filed under the name Thaleichthys pacificus (eulachon). Its description in RNAcentral is "partial 12S ribosomal RNA". It matches the Rfam family "Bacterial small subunit ribosomal RNA", at positions 801 to 1402 of the family's 1533-position model. Lineage: Eukaryota; Metazoa; Chordata; Actinopteri; Osmeriformes; Osmeridae. The record is from RNAcentral.
CUUUGAUAUUAACUUACCCCUAAUAUCCGCCAGGGAACUACAAGCGUUAGCUUAAAACCCAAAGGACUUGGCGGUGCCUCACACCCACCUAGAGGAGCCUGUUCUUGAAUCGAUAAUCCCCGUUCAACCUCACCACCCCUUGUUAGACCCGCCUAUAUACCGCCGUCGUCAGCUCACCCUGUGAAGGACUUAAAGUGAGCAAAAUGGGCAAAACCCAGAACGUCAGGUCAAGGUGCAGCGUAUGAGGUGGGAAGAAAUGGGCUACAUUACCUACAACAGGUUACUACGAAUGGGGCCGUGAAACCGACCCCUGAAGGUGGAUUUAGCAGUAAGGGGGAAAUAGAGAGUUCUCCUGAAGCCGGCUCUGAGGCGCGCACACACCGCCCGUCACCC